ACAUGCAGUCGAACGCGUUGGCCCAAUUGAUUGAUGGUGCUUGCACCUGAUUGAUUUUGGUCGCCAACGAGUGGCGGACGGGUGAGUAACACGUAGGUAACCUGCCCAGAAGCGGGGGACAACAUUUGGAAACAGAUGCUAAUACCGCAUAACAGCGUUGUUCGCAUGAACAACGCUUAAAAGAUGGCUUCUCGCUAUCACUUCUGGAUGGACCUGCGGUGCAUUAGCUUGUUGGUGGGGUAACGGCCUACCAAGGCGAUGAUGCAUAGCCGAGUUGAGAGACUGAUCGGCCACAAUGGGACUGAGACACGGCCCAUACUCCUACGGGAGGCAGCAGUAGGGAAUCUUCCACAAUGGGCGCAAGCCUGAUGGAGCAACACCGCGUGAGUGAAGAAGGGUUUCGGCUCGUAAAGCUCUGUUGUUAAAGAAGAACACGUAUGAGAGUAACUGUUCAUACGUUGACGGUAUUUAACCAGAAAGUCACGGCUAACUACGUGCCAGCAGCCGCGGUAAUACGUAGGUGGCAAGCGUUAUCCGGAUUUAUUGGGCGUAAAGAGAGUGCAGGCGGUUUUCUAAGUCUGAUGUGAAAGCCUUCGGCUUAACCGGAGAAGUGCAUCGGAAACUGGAUAACUUGAGUGCAGAAGAGGGUAGUGGAACUCCAUGUGUAGCGGUGGAAUGCGUAGAUAUAUGGAAGAACACCAGUGGCGAAGGCGGCUACCUGGUCUGCAACUGACGCUGAGACUCGAAAGCAUGGGUAGCGAACAGGAUUAGAUACCCUGGUAGUCCAUGCCGUAAACGAUGAGUGCUAGGUGUUGGAGGGUUUCCGCCCUUCAGUGCCGGAGCUAACGCAUUAAGCACUCCGCCUGGGGAGUACGACCGCAAGGUUGAAACUCAAAGGAAUUGACGGGGGCCCGCACAAGCGGUGGAGCAUGUGGUUUAAUUCGAAGCUACGCGAAGAACCUUACCAGGUCUUGACAUCUUGCGCCAACCCUAGAGAUAGGGCGUUUCCUUCGGGAACGCAAUGACAGGUGGUGCAUGGUCGUCGUCAGCUCGUGUCGUGAGAUGUUGGGUUAAGUCCCGCAACGAGCGCAACCCUUGUUACUAGUUGCCAGCAUUAAGUUGGGCACUCUAGUGAGACUGCCGGUGACAAACCGGAGGAAGGUGGGGACGACGUCAGAUCAUCAUGCCCCUUAUGACCUGGGCUACACACGUGCUACAAUGGACGGUACAACGAGUCGCGAACUCGCGAGGGCAAGCAAAUCUCUUAAAACCGUUCUCAGUUCGGACUGCAGGCUGCAACUCGCCUGCACGAAGUCGGAAUCGCUAGUAAUCGCGGAUCAGCAUGCCGCGGUGAAUACGUUCCCGGGCCUUGUACACACCGCCCGUCACACCAUGAGAGUUUGUAACACCCAAAGUCGGUGGGGUAACCUUUUAGGAGCCA
Molecule: ribosomal RNA, 1441 nt
Filed under: Limosilactobacillus fermentum
Lineage: Bacteria; Bacillati; Bacillota; Bacilli; Lactobacillales; Lactobacillaceae
Description: bacterial SSU rRNA
Rfam family: Bacterial small subunit ribosomal RNA
Source: RNAcentral